CGCUGGCGGCGUGCCUAACACAUGCAAGUCGUGCGACGAAAGGGAGCAAUCCUGAGUAAAGCGGCGAACGGGUGAGUAACACGUGGUUAACCUGCCUGGAUGUGGGGGAUACCCCGGGGAAACUCGGGACAAUACCGCAUGAUGUCUCUCGGGCGUCGGCCCGGGAGGGCAAAGCCGGGGACCGCAAGGCCUGGCGCAUCCGGAGGGGACCGCGGCCGAUUAGCUAGUUGGCGGGUAAUGGCCCACCAAAGGCGACGAUCGGUAGCCGGCCUGAGAGGGUGAUCGGCCACACCGGAACUGAGACACGGUCCGGACUCCUACGGGAGGCAGCAGUGGGGAAUUUUGCGCAAUGGGCGAAAGCCUGACGCAGCAACGCCGCGUGGAGGAUGAAGGUGCUCUGCAUUGUAAACUCCUGUCGGCCGGGAAGAAUCGGCGGGGUGCUAAUCAGCCCCGUCUUGACUGUACCGGCAAAGGAAGCCCCGGCUAACUCCGUG
This 494-nucleotide ribosomal RNA is filed under the name uncultured bacterium. RNAcentral's name for it is "bacterial SSU rRNA". It matches the Rfam family "Bacterial small subunit ribosomal RNA", at positions 34 to 507 of the family's 1533-position model. The record is from RNAcentral.